RNAcentral lists this transfer RNA (73 nucleotides) under Flaviflexus salsibiostraticola. It matches the Rfam family "tRNA". Rfam says of the family: Transfer RNA (tRNA) molecules are approximately 80 nucleotides in length. Their secondary structure includes four short double-helical elements and three loops (D, anti-codon, and T loops). RNAcentral also lists the same sequence under 6 other names. Lineage: Bacteria; Bacillati; Actinomycetota; Actinomycetes; Actinomycetales; Actinomycetaceae. The record is from Rfam by way of RNAcentral.
GCGGACGUAGCUCAGUUGGUAGAGCAUCACCUUGCCAAGGUGAGGGUCGCGGGUUCGAAUCCCGUCGUCCGCU